CAACCCUUGACAUGUCCAGUAUGGGUUUCAGAGAUGAGACCCUUCAGUUCGGCUGGCUGGAACACAGGUACUGCAUGGCUGUCGUCAGCUCGUGUCGUGAGAUGUUGGGUUAAGUCCCGCAACGAGCGCAACCCUCGCCCUUAGUUGCCAUCAUUUAGUUGGGCACUCUAGGGGGACUGCCGGUGAUAAGCCGCGAGGAAGGUGGGGAUGACGUCAAGUCCUCAUGGCCCUUACGGGUUGGGCUACACACGUGCUACAAUGGCGGUGACAAUGGGAUGCAAAGGGGUAACCCUGUGCAAAUCUCAAAAAGCCGUCUCAGUUCGGACUGGGGUCUGCAACUCGACCCCACGAAGUCGGAAUCGCUAGUAAUCGUGGAUCAGCAUGCCACGGUGAAUA
RNAcentral lists this ribosomal RNA (396 nucleotides) under uncultured soil bacterium. RNAcentral describes it as "bacterial SSU rRNA". It matches the Rfam family "Bacterial small subunit ribosomal RNA", at positions 975 to 1368 of the family's 1533-position model. The record is from RNAcentral.